GACGAACGCUGGCGGCGUGCUUAACACAUGCAAGUCGAACGGAAAGGCCCUGCUUUUGUGGGGUGCUCGAGUGGCGAACGGGUGAGUAACACGUGAGUAACCUGCCCUUGACUUUGGGAUAACUUCAGGAAACUGGGGCUAAUACCGGAUAGGAGCUCCUGCUGCAUGGUGGGGGUUGGAAAGUUUCGGCGGUUGGGGAUGGACUCGCGGCUUAUCAGCUUGUUGGUGGGGUCGUGGCUUACCAAGGCCUUGACGGGUAGCCGGCCUGUGAGGGUGACCGGCCACAUUGGGACGGGGAUACGGCCCAUACUCCUACGGGAGGCAGCAGUGGGGAAUAUUGCACAAUGGGCGGAAGCCUGAUGCAGCAACGCCGCGUGCGGGAUGACGGCCUUCGGGUUGUAAACCGCUUUCGCCUGUGACGAAGCGUGAGUGACGGUAAUGGGGAAAGAAGCACCGGCUAACACGUG
RNAcentral lists this ribosomal RNA (467 nucleotides) under uncultured bacterium. RNAcentral's name for it is "partial 16S ribosomal RNA". It matches the Rfam family "Bacterial small subunit ribosomal RNA", at positions 28 to 507 of the family's 1533-position model. The record is from RNAcentral.